UGCAAGUCGAGCGGAUGACAGGAGCUUGCUCCUGAAUUCAGCGGCGGACGGGUGAGUAAUGCCUAGGAAUCUGCCUGGUAGUGGGGGACAACGUUUCGAAAGGAACGCUAAUACCGCAUACGUCCUACGGGAGAAAGCAGGGGACCUUCGGGCCUUGCGCUAUCAGAUGAGCCUAGGUCGGAUUAGCUAGUUGGUGAGGUAAUGGCUCACCAAGGCGACGAUCCGUAACUGGUCUGAGAGGAUGAUCAGUCACACUGGAACUGAGACACGGUCCAGACUCCUACGGGAGGCAGCAGUGGGGAAUAUUGGACAAUGGGCGAAAGCCUGAUCCAGCCAUGCCGCGUGUGUGAAGAAGGUCUUCGGAUUGUAAAGCACUUUAAGUUGGGAGGAAGGGCAUUAACCUAAUACGUUAGUGUUUUGACGUUACCGACAGAAUAAGCACCGGCUAACUCUGUGCCAGCAGCCGCGGUAAUACAGAGGGUGCAAGCGUUAAUCGGAAUUACUGGGCGUAAAGCGCGCGUAGGUGGUUCGUUAAGUUGGAUGUGAAAGCCCCGGGCUCAACCUGGGAACUGCAUUCAAAACUGACGAGCUAGAGUAUGGUAGAGGGUGGUGGAAUUUCCUGUGUAGCGGUGAAAUGCGUAGAUAUAGGAAGGAACACCAGUGGCGAAGGCGACCACCUGGACUGAUACUGACACUGAGGUGCGAAAGCGUGGGGAGCAAACAGGAUUAGAUACCCUGGUAGUCCACGCCGUAAACGAUGUCAACUAGCCGUUGGGAGCCUUGAGCUCUUAGUGGCGCAGCUAACGCAUUAAGUUGACCGCCUGGGGAGUACGGCCGCAAGGUUAAAACUCAAAUGAAUUGACGGGG
This 867-nucleotide ribosomal RNA is filed under the name Pseudomonas sp. ZR3-7. RNAcentral describes it as "bacterial SSU rRNA". It matches the Rfam family "Bacterial small subunit ribosomal RNA", at positions 56 to 918 of the family's 1533-position model. The record is from RNAcentral. Lineage: Bacteria; Pseudomonadati; Pseudomonadota; Gammaproteobacteria; Pseudomonadales; Pseudomonadaceae.